Molecule: long non-coding RNA, 1002 nt
Organism: Glycine soja
Lineage: Eukaryota; Viridiplantae; Streptophyta; Magnoliopsida; Fabales; Fabaceae
Exons: 5
Source: RefSeq, a predicted model, not a curated record
UCAAUUGGAGUGUGUGGGGAACUGAAUUUGAAUGUGGAGAAACGAAGAUGAUGGAGCGAAGACAGAAUCAAACUCCACAAGUUAUUGGCAAAUAAAUAUUGUAAAUUGAUUGGAAUUCAUUUUUGUGGGCGUGGAAAAGGUGCCUUUGAGAGGAGAAGGUAUAUGAAUGUGGUGAUUCAAAGGGCUCUCCAUCGUCAGCUUAGGGAAUGGUGGAGAGAGUAGCUGUUAUCUUCUUCAAUGCUGACAAUGUUCCAUUGGAGAAAUUUGUAUUCAAGCUUACAAUGAACCAAACUAAGUUCAGAGGUGGAAGAGGUUGAUCUUGAGUUCUGAUCAAACUGUCAAACUCAGAAUCUCUUUCUAAAGGGCUUCCUCCUGAUUGCAGGUGGGAGAUAACUGCUUACUUUUGAUCCCUUCCCAAGGCUGGUACAAGCAAGGAAGCAGACUUGUCGAUCCCAACUGACACAAAACCGGGGCAGCAGCCUCCACUUAUAACCCCUAUCAAGUCAAUGAGUAGUGAACCUCUGAAUUUGCAAUUGUACUUGGAGCAUCCAAGUUUAUUAGAAUCAUUGCUUUGAGAAGGGAACUCAAAGCCAUAGUACAUAUAUUAUACAUGUAUGAAAUAUCGCAUUAUCUCUAUACACAUGCAAUGGACAUGUUUUGUGGUUAGUGGUUGGAAAGCAUGUUCUCAGUCUCUGGAAUAUUAAAAGAACUAUUUACAAGCACUAGUGGCCUGGAAUGAAACUCUUCCCAAAUGAAAAAUUGCUUACUUUUUUUAUGUGAUUUUGGAGGUGGGGAAGAUAGAGAGGAUUAUAGUAUUGUAUUCUAUGGAUGGACAAUGUAAAAGCAUCAUGAUUAAUGGUGUGUUUUUAUUGGUCCAAAUGGUGUGGGUUGAACAUGCUGUAGAGCUUUCUUACUUUGGACUUCAUUGUCACAUCUCUUCCUCCAAUUGGCCCUAGCUACCUCAGCCACUUUUUCUUGCUUAUAAUGGUUGACAUUGUUGCA